RNAcentral lists this ribosomal RNA (383 nucleotides) under Scylla paramamosain (green mud crab). RNAcentral describes it as "bacterial SSU rRNA". The stretch from base 1 to 308 matches the Rfam family "Eukaryotic small subunit ribosomal RNA", at positions 1569 to 1831 of the family's 1831-position model. Lineage: Eukaryota; Metazoa; Arthropoda; Malacostraca; Decapoda; Portunidae. The record is from RNAcentral. RNAcentral also lists the same sequence under 1 other name.
GAUAGGGAUUGGGGUUUGCAAUUGUCUCCCAUGAACGAGGAAUUCCCAGUAAGCGCAAGUCAUGAGCUUGCGUUGAUUACGUCCCUGCCCUUUGUACACACCGCCCGUCGCUACUACCGAUUGAAUGAUUUAGUGAGGCCUUCGGACUGGCGCUCUUGGAUGCCGGGCCUGCGUCGCGGUCAGUUCUGCUGCCGCCGCUGGGCUCUUUCGGCGCCUCGAGCUGACGGAAAGAUGNUCGAACUUGAUCAUUUAGAGGAAGUAAAAGUCGUAACAAGGUUUCCGUAGGUGAACCUGCGGAAGGAUCCUUAACGUGUUGUUGGUUUUGAAGGCGAACCACACACUCAAAAUAGAGCUAAUACAAAUAGUGGGUGGUCGCGGUUCGC